Non-coding RNA from Acanthosepion pharaonis, 115 nucleotides. Lineage: Eukaryota; Metazoa; Mollusca; Cephalopoda; Sepiida; Sepiidae. The record is from the annotation of a GenBank genome assembly.
CUUGCAGCCAUAUCACGUUGAAAUAUCGGUUUCCGUACGAUCACCGAAGUUAAGCAACGUCGAACCUUGUCAGUACCUAAAUGGAUGACCGUUUGGAAAUACCAGAUGCUGUAAG